Tachyglossus aculeatus (Australian echidna) is the source of this 1152-nucleotide non-coding RNA. The record is from the annotation of a RefSeq genome assembly. NCBI's taxonomy places the organism in Eukaryota, Metazoa, Chordata, Mammalia, Monotremata, Tachyglossidae.
AUGGGGGAUCUGGAGUUUCCUCACGUCAGAGUCCUGAGCAAGUCUCAGCCCCUCUCUGAGAGAGGAGAGUGGAGGGACGGGAGUCCCGACAUGUGGGGAAAUAGCCAGCAGACCGCGACAAAGACCUCACCGACCGUCUUCCCCCUGAGUGCCUACCAGUCCAACUCCGGAGACCCAGUGUCCAUCGGCUGCCUGGUCACGGGCUACUUCCCUGAGCCGGUGGAAGUGACCUGGAACAACCAGAACAAGGACGGGUCCACAGCCAGGACCUUCCCUGCCGUGCUGGAGUCCAGUGGUUACUACGUUUUGAGCAGCCUGCUCGUCCUCCCGGCUGACCAGUGCCCUGAAAGCAAGGUCUACCAGUGCAACGUGAACCACUACGGGAGCAGCAGAACGGCCAACGUGGAUUGUAAAAGGAAGAAUCCAGAUGUCUGCCCGGAUCCCUGCCCAACUGUGAGUGUAUCCCUGCUGCCCCCGUCCCUGGAAAGCCUGUUCCUCGACAAAGGGGCCAACCUGACCUGCGAACUGACCGGGGUGGCCAACGUUCAAGGGGCAAACUUCUCCUGGAGCGCACCGCCCUCCGUGACCGCCAAGCCCGUCAGGGGCCCGGCGGUGAGAGACGGCCAAGGCAAGUACACCAUCACCAGCACCCUGGAGGUCUGCACGGACGAGUGGAUGCAGGGACACAGCUUCUCCUGCACCGUGACCCACCCGGAACUGCGCGAGCCCAUCACCAAAACCAUCGCCAAGACUUCUGGCCCCCUGAUCCGGCCCGCGGUCCACCUGCUUCCCCCUACCUCCGAGGAGCUGGCCCUGAAUGAGAUGGCCACCCUGACCUGCCUGGUGAGGGGCUUCAGCCCCAGGGAACUGCUGGUGAAAUGGAUGAAGGGGGGUCAGGAGGUGCCCAGGACGGACUAUGUGACCGGCACCCCCCAGCAGGAGAUCAGCGAGGGCUCCCCCACGUUCUUCCUGUAUAGCACCCUCCGCGUCCAGACUUCCUCCUGGAAAAGUGGGGAGAACUUCUCCUGCGUGGUGGGCCACGAGUCCCUGCCCCUCAACUUCACCCAGAAAACCUUCGACCAGUCCACCGGUAAACCCAGCACGGUCAAUCUGACCGUGGUCAUGUCCGACGCGGCCAGCACCUGUUACUAA